AUGGAACGCUAAAAGUUCAUGGCACACAAGGGCGAAACAUUUAUAUAAAUUGCCCCCUGGGUUUCCUGAGAUGAAACAUCUGUUAAAGGCAGGGCUUUGGUCGAUUGUACUGCUGCUCUGAUAAACCAUUAUUAGGAUGAGAAAAUACAAGGAUCAUGAGGUUUGAAUGAUUUCUUCUAAGUGUACCACAGAAUUAAACAGAACAAAUAGGCUUGUAUUUUUACGUUCUUGAUCUAAGCCAUUACAAAAUCCCCAGAAAGUUCCAAGUAAUUAAUCAAAAUGUCAACAUAGCCAAAAAUCAGAUGUGGAGUAAUUGAGAUUGAAGUCAUAGCUUUACCAGAACUCAUACAAAAUCUCUGAACUAAUUAGGAAUAAGGAGGAUUCCAAAAAUCUUAAUGAAGUCUGAUGACUAUGAACUCCUAAACCCUACUGGGCUUCCCCUGCUAGCAGAAGUCGCGAUUCCUCCCCUCUCUGAUCAAGUUGAACCAACCUUGCUUAAAGACCAUGUAAUUAACUUUCCUGAGAUAGUAUGUGCAUAAAGAGCCCAGUUCUUUUGGUGGCCCACCCUCAGAACUAACUGCAAAAUAUGUAGAACCCCAGUGCAAAAUGACAACUCAGGGCCUAUUGUUAAAAAGAACUUUGAGGUGGUGACAAUGGAGCAUGGAAACAAUUGUGAGACCCUUCUGAACAGGAGGCUCGGUGUGGCUGCGCUAGUUAUAAGCCCAAGAAACUGACCCUGCCCAUCAUACCAAUCCCUUUAAUCUCCAAACCUGUAAUUAGAGUAACUGUACAUGCAUGAGGCAUAUGAGCAUAUCACAUUUGGAAGAAAGUUCUUACACCAAAACAAUUUCAAUAUUUUGAUAAUUUGUAUUGUUUAAAGCCUAGGGAUUAUAUGGCAGGAAUGGAUAUUUAGUGUGUCUCCUAAAUUCAAGAGGAGGAAACCUAAUUUAAGAUUGCACAGAAUUUAUUGUACAUUUGAC
RNAcentral lists this long non-coding RNA (980 nucleotides) under Marmota monax (woodchuck). Lineage: Eukaryota; Metazoa; Chordata; Mammalia; Rodentia; Sciuridae. The record is from RNAcentral.